UGGUAGUGUAUUGGACUACCAUGGCAGUCACGGGUAACGGAGAAUUAGGGUUCGAUUCCGGAGAGGGAGCCUGAGAAACGGCUACCACAUCUACGGAAGGCAGCAGGAGCGAAAAUUGCCCAAUCCCGACACGGGGAGGCAGUGACGAGAAAUAACAACUCUUGGUUAUUCUAAGAAGUGUAAUGAGGAUAAUUUAAAACCCUUACCGGAAGCAAUUGGAGGGCAAGUCUGGUGCCAGCAGCCGCGGUAAUUCCAGCUCCAAUAGCGUAUAUUAAAGUUGUUGCAGUUAAAAAGCUCGUAGUUGAAGUUCUGGCUGAUCGAUCCUCGAGCUCUGUAGCCGAGGGCUCAGCAGUCAUCCGCUUGCAAAUAUAUGCCCGCCUUUAACCGGGCGGCUAUAUGAGUAAGCAUUUUACCUUGAGAAAAACAGAGUGUUCCAGGCAGGUUUGUCCGGAAUGCAUAGCAUGGAAUAAUAGAAUAUGACUGAAGUCGAUUUAUUGGUUUGAGGCUUUAGUAAUGAUUAAUAGGAACAGUCGGGGGCAUUGGUACUUGACAGCCAGAGGUGAAAUUUUAGGAUUUGUCAAAGACUAACAGAUGCGAAAGCAUUUGCCAAGGAUGUUUUCAUUAAUCAAGAACGAAAGUUAAUGGAUCAAAGACGAUCAGAAGUAGGGGAUCAAAGACAUCAGAUAGGGGAUCAAAGACGAUUAGAUGGUAGGGGAUCAAAGACGAUUA
This 729-nucleotide ribosomal RNA is filed under the name uncultured ciliate. RNAcentral's name for it is "bacterial SSU rRNA". It matches the Rfam family "Eukaryotic small subunit ribosomal RNA", at positions 326 to 1022 of the family's 1831-position model. The record is from RNAcentral. Lineage: Eukaryota; Ciliophora.